UCUUAUCUUUCUUUCUGGAAGAAGAACGAAGGAGGACGCAUGGAGCUUGAAUGCGCUCACACCAAGAUUAUUUUUUAAAUGAGCAAUAACUUGUUGAAUUCCCCGUUCAUUCAACAGCUUUCAUGGACUUGAAGGAGAUUGAAGGUUCCAGACGUCCUUUGUUGUACUGAGGUUUAAUGUUUUUUGGGGAUAGAUAGUGCUGGCUAUGCCGCUAGUGUACUGAGAUCUGAUUGGCUGGCAGGGUACUGAAGAUGCUAUAAAAGAUCUACAUCAGGGGUGUCACUCAUUCCAUGGUGGGCCUAGUGUCUGCGGGUUUUGCCUUUUCAAUUGAGGCCUAGACAACCAGGUGAUGGGAGUUACCUUAAUUCAUGGAGUAUAAGGGAGGAGCGAAAACCCGCAGACACUCGGCCCUCCGUGGAAUGAGUUUGACAUGUGAUCUACGUCUUGUUUUUGAGUUAAUGGGCCAGGAUGGGGAUUGAAGACUGAUGUAAAUCUUGCCAUGUGAUUGGCUUGUUGAUCCAGUACGUGGAGUAUGAAGACUUAAAUCUCAACCCUAUGGUGAGUGUCUCCGAGGGCUGAAAGUAGCCAAUUGUUUUCCUUCAGUAGUCUUCUGCUGGAGUUGUGAUGACUUCUCACUUUUGCCGUUUACCCAUCUGACUAAAUUGGGGUGCUGAGACUGACUAACUGAACUGCCAAUAUUAGCAUUGAUCAUUAUAGGUAGACACUGAGAUAUUGUAUAGAUGGUGGGUCAAUUUCCACAACUAACUGUUGAAGCGUGAGCAUCUCGCUUAGCUCAAUAUCUGCGGUGCUCCUUGUGGCAGCGGCAUUUUGCAGAGUCUACCUUCAAUCAUUAAACUUGCAAUCCAUGACUAAGGUUUGAGACUUAUGUUAUUUCAUCAUGCAGGAUUGUUGGACCUGCAGUAGGGGAGUUUUUUUUCUCUCCUGGUUUGUGAGGUGUUGACUAAGCUUUUUCUACCCAUGUUCAGUAAUUUUUACUGGAAUUCUGAUGCCUUUUUUGACAUUUCUGCUGAUUUUACACUGCUGAAAAGCCAUUAAUCUGAAUUACCAGCGUUAUAACUAAACCCACGAUGGUAGAAAGUUAAGUAAUAUCUCAUUAGACUUAAUCAUUACACUAUCAAUGAAGAAACUGGUAAUUUUACUUAUUUUUGGCGAGUUUAACUGAUUUCUUCUAUUCAUUGACACAAUUCAAGGUUUGGAAGGCGAAUGUGACCCUUGAGACCUAAACUAUCACCCUAUUUUCACUUGCCUGUCCAAAAAAGCACAACCGUGGUCUCAAUGAGACUCCCCUGCCUAAAUUUAAGGUUAAAUGUAUUUUUAAUCUGAUUUUAUUCUGCCCUGUUAUGUGUUCAAAGUUAUGAAAUAAAAUAUUAUUUUGUGCUACA
Coregonus clupeaformis (lake whitefish) is the source of this 1403-nucleotide long non-coding RNA. RefSeq lists it as uncharacterized. The transcript has 6 exons. The record is from RefSeq and is a predicted model, not a curated record. Lineage: Eukaryota; Metazoa; Chordata; Actinopteri; Salmoniformes; Salmonidae.